This 22-nucleotide non-coding RNA is filed under the name Mus musculus (house mouse). The record is from RNAcentral. Lineage: Eukaryota; Metazoa; Chordata; Mammalia; Rodentia; Muridae.
UGAUUCAGGCUUCUCAAGGAGG